RNAcentral lists this ribosomal RNA (542 nucleotides) under Beauveria bassiana. RNAcentral's name for it is "eukaryotic LSU rRNA". The stretch from base 166 to 319 matches the Rfam family "5.8S ribosomal RNA". Lineage: Eukaryota; Fungi; Ascomycota; Sordariomycetes; Hypocreales; Cordycipitaceae. The record is from RNAcentral.
GAGGCAUACGAGAUGAAGCAUCUACCCUUCUGUGACCUACCUAUCGUUGCUUCGGCGGACUCGCCCCAGCCCGGACGCGGACUGGACCAGCGGCCCGCCGGGGACCUCAAACUCUUGUAUUCCAGCAUCUUCUGAAUACGCCGCAAGGCAAAACAAAUGAAUCAAAACUUUCAACAACGGAUCUCUUGGCUCUGGCAUCGAUGAAGAACGCAGCGAAACGCGAUAAGUAAUGUGAAUUGCAGAAUCCAGUGAAUCAUCGAAUCUUUGAACGCACAUUGCGCCCGCCAGCAUUCUGGCGGGCAUGCCUGUUCGAGCGUCAUUUCAACCCUCGACCUCCCCUUGGGGAGGUCGGCGUUGGGGACCGGCAGCACACCGCCGGCCCUGAAAUGGAGUGGCGGCCCGUCCGCGGCGACCUCUGCGCAGUAAUACAGCUCGCACCGGAACCCCGACGCGGCCACGCCGUAAAACACCCAACUUCUGAACGUUGACCUCGAAUCAGGUAGGACUACCCGCUGAACUUAAGCAUAUCAAUAAGCGGAGGA